RNAcentral lists this ribosomal RNA (385 nucleotides) under uncultured Actinomycetes bacterium. RNAcentral describes it as "bacterial SSU rRNA". It matches the Rfam family "Bacterial small subunit ribosomal RNA", at positions 958 to 1392 of the family's 1533-position model. The record is from RNAcentral. Lineage: Bacteria; Bacillati; Actinomycetota; Actinomycetes.
AACGCGAAGAACCUUACCUACCCUUGACAUGUGGAAUGCCGAAGAGAUUUGGCAGUGCGCAAGAGAACCGGAACACAGGUGCUGCAUGGCUGGAGCGUGGUGAGAUGUUGGGUUAAGCCGCAACGAGCGCAACCCUUGCUGUGUUGCCAGCAUGCCCUGGGGUGAUGGGGACACAGGAGACCGCCGGGGAACGGAGGAAGGUGGGGAUGACGAAGAAUGCCCCUUAUGCAAGGCUACGCAUGCUACAAUGGCCGGUACAAAGGGCUGCGAUAGCAAGAUGGAGCGAACCAAAAAGCCGGAGUGGAUUGGGGUGCAACGACCCCAUGAAGGGAGGCUAGUAAGCAGAAGCAACGCUGCGGUGAAUACGUCCGGGUUGUACACACCG